UCUAUCGGGUAAAGCCAAU
RNAcentral lists this small nuclear RNA (19 nucleotides) under Arabidopsis thaliana (thale cress). RNAcentral describes it as "snRNA_15106". Lineage: Eukaryota; Viridiplantae; Streptophyta; Magnoliopsida; Brassicales; Brassicaceae. The record is from RNAcentral.